This 497-nucleotide ribosomal RNA is filed under the name uncultured bacterium. RNAcentral describes it as "partial 16S ribosomal RNA". It matches the Rfam family "Bacterial small subunit ribosomal RNA", at positions 28 to 507 of the family's 1533-position model. The record is from RNAcentral.
GAUGAACGCUGGCGGCGUGCCUAAUACAUGCAAGUCGAGCGAACAGACGAGGAGCUUGCUCCUCUGACGUUAGCGGCGGACGGGUGAGUAACACGUGGAUAACCUACCUAUAAGACUGGGAUAACUUCGGGAAACCGGAGCUAAUACCGGAUAACAUGCUGAACCGCAUGGUUCAACAGUGAAAGACGGUUUUGCUGUCACUUAUAGAUGGAUCCGCGUCGCAUUAGCUAGUUGGUAAGGUAACGGCUUACCAAGGCAACGAUGCGUAGCCGACGUGAGAGAGUGAUCGGCCACACUGGAACUGAGACACGGUCCAGACUCCUACGGGAGGCAGCAGUAGGGAAUCUUCCGCAAUGGGCGAAAGCCUGACGGAGCAACGCCGCGUGAGUGAAGAAGGUCUUCGGAUCGUAAAACUCUGUUAUGAGGGAAGAACAAAUGUGUAAGUAACUAUGCACGUCUUGACGGUACCUAAUCAGAAAGCCCCGGCUAACUACGUG